Molecule: long non-coding RNA, 1572 nt
Filed under: Sorghum bicolor (sorghum)
Lineage: Eukaryota; Viridiplantae; Streptophyta; Magnoliopsida; Poales; Poaceae
Description: long non-coding RNA (SBIC_LNC012536)
Source: RNAcentral
AGUGAGGAGAACCGAGUUAUUAUUAUCAUGAAAAGAAUAUCAUUCAGAAAGCUUAGUGCAAUCUUCUGCAUAUGACUCGAAUCAUGUUUACUUCCAUUUGCAGGUUCAAUAGUUCCACCAUUUUGAAAUCCUUAUAGAGAAGAACUAAAUUUAAUCUGUAGUAAUUUUUCAUAUCCAUGCGACUAAAAUGAGACCAUGGUUAUUAGCAUUGGAAUACAGACAUAACAAGGUGAUCAUCAAAAUGUUGCACCUUGCCCUAGCCAGAAACUUCUUUCUACCUCCAACACCAGCAUCACAGAUAAAAGCAGAGGCAUUAACCAUUGUGAUGCAAGCACCCACACAAGAGUAAAUGAAAUUAGAGAAUUAUGGAGGUCCUGGUCUCAAGUGAACCUCAGACAAACUUGACUGUUGAGAUUAGUAAUAGGGCAAGGGUGCUUCAUUUGCACACUAGGCAAAGGACCAUGGUUCAGCAGUACCCUUUUUACUUGCCAUCCGUACCAUGUCCAAAAAAAAUGACACUGGGUCAGGGUACACUGGUCGCAAAUGUGCAUGCUUUGGAUCUGCUGUAUGAAUUUCAGUUAAAGUAAUAUUCCAGAUGUAUAGGAAUCAUGCUAUGCAGGUUGAAGAGGAUGGACCGACUUCACAUCAGACUCAUAUCUAGUACUUAUCACAAAAUUAUGUGCACUAACAAACCACAAAGAGUCUCAUACAAGAUAUUAUAUAUACAACAAAUAUAUUGCCACUGAAGCCUCAAUGAAUUCACCAAGACACUUAUUCAAGGCAUGUCUACUUCAUAAUUCAUUUUCAAUAGAAACUUGACAGCUAACAUAAACAAAUAUAUUGUAUAAUGGCGUGCAAAUCACUCAUUAGUUGAGAGUACCAAAUGUUAUCAAGGUUGAUUGAUGCAACAAGAAAAAUUGUUACGAACAAAAAUACUGCAAUAUUUCAAAACUCACUCCCCUAACUAAAUCAAUGUCAUCAAAACAAAAAAUAUAACUUAUGCACAGACUGUGUCAAACAAAUGGCCAACCAAGAAGCAUCAUUUUACAAAACAUCCAUACUUUGCCACAACUUAAUGUAAUGACCAGAAACAAAGAAACAAUGGAUGCACGAUAACAAUUUGACAGUUUUGCACACAUAAGAGAUAUUUCAUUCCUAUCUUAAUCUUAAGAAGACAAAUUUGGCCAGUGUUGCUAAUAAAGUGGGAGGCUUGAAGCAUUAGGUGUCGAAUCCCAUCUUAAGAAGAGAAUGCAAGACAUGUGAACAUGAACACGAACAUAUAUAUCUCCUAAUCAUUUAUCACAUCUAAGAAAUUUGGCCAGUGUUGCUAAUAAAGUGGGAGGCUUGAAGCAUUAGGUGUCGAAUCCCAUCUUAAGAAGAGAAAACAUCAACUACAAGACAUGUGAACAUGAACACGAACAUAUAUAUCUCCUAAUAUAAAAGUCCUAAAUCAUUUAUCACAUCCACAGUGGACAAGUGCCCGAAUUUAUGUAUAGGGAAUCCUAAGCAAACAAGCCAUCGAUUGUAUUGAGUUCAUGAGGAAAUGGUCCGAGACAGAUGAUUGCUCACGGG